CUUUAUUAAAAAAUCUCUUUCAUUUCAGUCAAACCUUCUCUCUCCUUUCACUCUCUCUUACCAAACCCUCUCUUCUCGAAUUACCAAAGUUGUUGUUGUCCGAUCGUUGUCGUCACCGGCGUUGUUUGGGUCUCUGUCAUCCAAUCAUUGUCGUGGGCGUUGUCCAAUCGUUUUUGUGGGCGUUGUCGUGGGUCUCUGUCGUCUUCAAUAACGGUUCCCGAUCGUUGUUGUGGUCUCUGUCAUCGGCGUUGGUUGGAUCUGUAGAUUUGGGUCACCGACAUUGGCGGGUCGUCACUGGCAUGGUGGAGGUCGUCGUUCGUAGAGUCCAUAGAUUCCGUCGUGGAGGUGGGUCGCCAUCCGUAGAUCUGUAGAUCUCCUCUGGUCGUCCGUCCAUCCAGCUUUUCCGAUCCGGAUCAUAAGAUUUCAAGGCAUGAGUUGAUAAAGAAAGUGAGGCAGAUAGUAGGGGACAAGUUGUUGAUACAUGUAAUCAAAUCAUUCAGGACACAGGUUUUAGACAAUGUUUUCAUCCUUCAAAUGUCAAGUCAGGUUUUAGACAAUGCCACACUUGUCAUGUCCGUCAAUCUCUAAGGGAACAGCCUAUGAACAAAGCAAGAGCUAAAUCAUAUUGAGUUGUGAUGGUUAAUUCUUCAUUAUCAUCGUCGAGUCUUUUGUUCUUUCUUGUUUAACCUGCAUUGCGGAUUGGAAGGUGGAAUGGUUUGAGAAGAACAUUUUGAAGAGGGGUUGUGCCUGAGACUGCUACAAAGAAGGGAAAGGACUACCCUGUUGGCCCUAUUCUUCUUGGAUUCUUCAUUUUUGUCGUCAUUGGAUCAUGGAAUAAGGAUGUUUCUUUUCAUCAUCAUGGUUGUCAAAAUAUUGAUAAGAUAUGGAGAAAUGAUAUCUUAUCUUGUCGUGUCUAUCUUCGACACUGGUAAGUAAUUUGCAGUGUAUCUUAUGUCCCCAAGCAAAUAUUUUCCUAUAAUAGCAACAACCUUCAACAUGAAACUUAGAAAUAAGGAUUUAUUUAAUUUGUUUCAAAGUCCAUUGCUAUACAUUAUAUCUGUUGAAGUUGUGACCAAAAUAAAACUUCUUUCCUUUCCUUUCCUUUGUUUUGUACUUCUAUUUGGAAUUUUCUUAAUACUCCUCUUAGGUGAAGUGAUUGGAAACUGGGGAGACCUUUGCCAUAAAGAAAGUCUUGCAGGACAAACAUUAAGGACAUUUUUUCUUUAUUCUUUUCCAUCUUCAUUCCGACACUAAAUUAAUGUGUUUAUUAGAUCUUCAAGGGGCUAGCUUAUAUUCACAUUGUUCCUAGAGUUUGUCAUCGAGAUGUAAAGCCUCAUAAUCUUUUGGUAUGUAACGUAUUUGUGUCUUAUUAUUUGUGAGCUAAGUAAUAGUUUCUCUUCUCCUCUUCUUUCAUGGGUUCAUUUUGAUUCUUCUUUCUGACGCUUUUAAUCUCAAGAGAAUAGCCUGGAAGCGCUGCAUUGAGCUUUGGAAGCUUUUGGGCUCUAAUGGGUUUCACCAAACCUCAUAAGCCCACCAAUGGCUUCUCUCCCAUAUGGAUUUUUCUAUUCUGCGUUGCUAGCUUCUUCCUGGGUAUUUUUGUUGUCGACAGUGAAUGCAAUUACCAAUAUCAAGUCAAACUUAUGGGAUAAAGAUGGAUUGGCAAGGAGAUCCAUGUGUGCCAAUGGAGUACCCUUGGAGUGGAUUGAAUUGUAGGAAUGCAACUACUUCAAGAAUCAUUUACUUGUGGGAGAAUAGCCCCUAGCUCCAAAAAUUGACAUCAGAAAACUUGGGAAGACAUCGUUGAACACUUUCAUUUAUCUUCAGCUUAUUUUUAAUCAUUUUAACCAUUUUGUAAUUUAUUUAUUUUGAAUGCUAUUCUUGUAUACAACUUAGUAUGUAUUACUUGAUCAAUGCAAAAUAUAUAUGUAUACUUCAUGGUUGAUAAGUUGGAAUUUGCUA
Non-coding RNA from Benincasa hispida (wax gourd), 1959 nucleotides. The record is from RefSeq and is a predicted model, not a curated record. Lineage: Eukaryota; Viridiplantae; Streptophyta; Magnoliopsida; Cucurbitales; Cucurbitaceae.